GCCGCAGUAGCUCAUUGGUAGAGCACACCCUUGGUAAGGGUGUGGUAGGAAGUUCGAUUCUUCUCUGCGGCACCA
Molecule: transfer RNA, 75 nt
Filed under: Alphaproteobacteria bacterium
Lineage: Bacteria; Pseudomonadati; Pseudomonadota; Alphaproteobacteria
Description: tRNA-Thr
Rfam family: tRNA
About the family: Transfer RNA (tRNA) molecules are approximately 80 nucleotides in length.
Source: RNAcentral